This 2148-nucleotide ribosomal RNA is filed under the name Diplocoelus sp. CO878. RNAcentral describes it as "eukaryotic LSU rRNA". It matches the Rfam family "Eukaryotic large subunit ribosomal RNA", at positions 79 to 1873 of the family's 3401-position model. Lineage: Eukaryota; Metazoa; Arthropoda; Insecta; Coleoptera; Biphyllidae. The record is from RNAcentral.
CUCAGUAGCGGCGAGCGAACAGGGAAGAGCCCAGCACCGAAUCCCGCGGCCUCACCGGCCGCCGGGAAAUGUGGUGUUAGGGAGGAUCGCACUCCUGCGGUCUCGCGGCGCGUCCAAGUCCUUCUUGAACGGGGCCACAGCCCAUAGAGGGUGCCAGGCCCGUAGCGACCGCCGCGGACCGUGGGACGGUCUCUCCUCAGAGUCGGGUUGCUUGAGAGUGCAGCCCUAAGUGGGUGGUAAACUCCAUCUAAGGCUAAAUAUGACCACGAGACCGAUAGCGAACAAGUACCGUGAGGGAAAGUUGAAAAGAACUUUGAAGAGAGAGUUCAAUAGUACGUGAAACCGUUCAGGGGUAAACCUGAGAAUCCCGAAAGGUCGAAAGGGGAGAUUCAUCGCGGCUCGUCUCCGGAGCCCGACGCGAUGGUGACUGCCGGCGUACGCGUCGGUCGCGCCUCGCGUUGGAGCACUCCUGGCGGCGAACGCGUGCACUUCUCCCCCAGUAGGACGUCGCGAUCCGUUGGGCGUCGGUCUAAGGCCCGCGGUGGAGCCCUGACCGGAACUCGUUCCGCCAGGACCCGCGGUGCUUCCCGACCGGCUCGCUCGACGGUACACAGAUGGCGCGGGGCCGCGACUCGUUCGCGACCGGCCCGCGGCAAGCGCGACGCGCGUUCCGGCUGUCGGACCUGGUGCCGGCACCGGACCGCGUCGGCUGUUCGCCGCGGUGUUCCCGGUCAGACUCCGUUCACGCCGAUCUGCGACGCUAUAGCUUUGGGUACUUUCAGGACCCGUCUUGAAACACGGACCAAGGAGUCUAGCAUGUGCGCGAGUCACUGAGACAGAGCGAAACUCAAAGGCGAAAUGAAAGUGAAGGUCCGCCUCGCGCGGACCUAGGGAAGAUGGGCGGUCCGACGAGACCGCCCCGCAUUCCCGGGGCGUCUCGUUCUCAUCGCGAGGAGAGGCGCACCAAGAGCGCACACGCUGGGACCCGAAAGAUGGUGAACUAUGCCUGGUCAGGACGAAGUCAGGGGAAACCCUGAUGGAGGUCCGUAGCGAUUCUGACGUGCAAAUCGAUCGUCGGAACUGGGUAUAGGGGCGAAAGACUAAUCGAACCAUCUAGUAGCUGGUUCCCUCCGAAGUUUCCCUCAGGAUAGCUGGCGCUCGUCGCGCACGAGUCUCAUCCGGUAAAGCGAAUGAUUAGAGGCAUUGGGGUCGAAACGGCCUCAACCUAUUCUCAAACUUUAAAUGGGUGAGAUCUCCGGCUUGCUCGAACUGUUGAAGCCGCGAGAGACGGAUCAGAGUGCCAAGUGGGCCAUUUUUGGUAAGCAGAACUGGCGCUGUGGGAUGAACCAAACGCAGAGUUAAAGCGCCUAAAUCGACGCUUAUGGGAUACCAUGAAAGGCGUUGGUAACUUAAGACAGCAGGACGGUGGCCAUGGAAGUCGGAAUCCGCCAAGGAGUGUGUAACAACUCACCUGCCGAAGUUACUAGCCCUGAAAAUGGAUGGCGCUGAAGCGUCGUGCUUAUACUCUGCCGUCAGCGGCAUGUGCGGUCCGACCGCUUCGGCGGUCGGCCAUGAAGCCCUGACGAGUAGGAGGGUCGCGGCGGUGAGCGCAGAAGGGCUGGCCGUGGGGCCGUCUGGAGCCGCCGUCGGUGCAGAUCUUGGUGGUAGUAGCAAAUACUCCAGCGAGGCCCUGGAGGACUGACGUGGAGAAGGGUUUCGUGUGAACAGCCGUUGCACACGAGUCAGUCGAUCCUAAGCCCUAGGCGAAAGCCGAUGUCGAUGUGGUGUGAAUUCAUUCAAWUUUWUUGUUUACGCAUUCGCACACACCCGUCGGGCGAAAGGGAAUCCGGUUCCUAUUCCGGAACCCGGCAGCGGAACCGUUUAAAAUUCGGGCCCUCGCAAGAGAGUUCGUCGGGGCAACCCAAAAGGACCCGGAGACGCCGUCGGGAGAUCCGGGAAGAGUUUUCUUUUCUGCAUGAGCGUUCGAGUUCCAUGGAAUCCUCUAGCAGGGAGAUAUGGUUUGGAACGCGAAGAGCACCGCAGUUGCAGCGGUGUCCGGAUCUUCCCCGCGGACCUUGAAAAUCCGGGAGAGGGCCACGUGGAGUUGUCGCGCCGGUUCGUACCCAUAUCCGCAGCAGGUCUCCAAGG